AGCAGCCGCGGUAAUUCCAGCUCCAAUAGCGUAUAUUAAAGUUGUUGCAGUUAAAAAGCUCGUAGUUGAAUUUCGGGGUCAGCAGGUUGGUCGUGCCUCUGGUACGCACUGGUUUCGCUGAUUCCUUCUUUCUGAAGAACUGUAAUGUCAUUAAUUUGGUGUUGCAGGGAAACAGGACUGUUACUUUGAAAAAUUAGAGUGUUUAAAGCAAGCUAACGCUUGAAUACAUUAGCAUGGAAUAAUGAAAUAGGACGUUUGAUCCUAUUUUGUUGGUUUCUAGGAUUGACGUAAUGAUUAAUAGGGAUAGUUGGGGGCAUUAGUAUUCAAUUGUCAGAGGUGAAAUUCUUGGAUUUAUUGAAGACUAACUACUGCGAAAGCAUUUGCCAAGGAUGUUUUCAUUAAUCAAGAACGAAAGUUAGGGGAUCGAAGACGAUCAGAUACCGUCGUAGU
This 450-nucleotide ribosomal RNA is filed under the name uncultured Glomus. RNAcentral's name for it is "SSU rRNA". It matches the Rfam family "Eukaryotic small subunit ribosomal RNA", at positions 569 to 1024 of the family's 1831-position model. Lineage: Eukaryota; Fungi; Glomeromycota; Glomeromycetes; Glomerales; Glomeraceae. The record is from RNAcentral.